UUUUUUUCAAAUUUGUAACACAUUAAAUUAUAGUUUUAGAGGGGAGGGAGGGGUUAGGUAACUUAUAAAUAAGUACAUGACACAUGUAUCAACCCAUUGUAUAGCUAGGUAGACAAUUCCCAUAACAUUACCUAAUUAAAUAGUAUCAUUAGAUAAAACAAAAAUAAUAUAGUAUAUAGGUAUUAUACAAAUCGAAAUUGACACGUAAUAUUAAUUUUAGUCUUAGAUACUUGGUUGUUUCGAGUGAUGGUAAAUCAUAUUAUUUUUUUAAAUCUCCACUAUUUUAUCCCUAUGUAAUACUCAGUAUUAUAU
This is a non-coding RNA of Cinara cedri, 312 nucleotides long. The record is from the annotation of a GenBank genome assembly. NCBI's taxonomy places the organism in Eukaryota, Metazoa, Arthropoda, Insecta, Hemiptera, Aphididae.